This 292-nucleotide ribosomal RNA is filed under the name uncultured bacterium. Its description in RNAcentral is "partial 16S ribosomal RNA". It matches the Rfam family "Bacterial small subunit ribosomal RNA", at positions 505 to 796 of the family's 1533-position model. The record is from RNAcentral.
GUGCCAGCAGCCGCGGUAAUACGUAGGGGGCAAGCGUUGUCCGGAAUCAUUGGGCGUAAAGCGCGUGUAGGCGGCCAUCCAAGUCCGAUGUGAAAGCUCGGGGCUCAACCCCGAGUCUGCAUUGGAAACUGUAUGGCUUGAGUCCGGAAGAGGAGACUGGAAUUCCUGGUGUAGCGGUGAAAUGCGCAGAUAUCAGGAAGAACACCGGUGGCGAAGGCGGGUCUCUGGGACGGUACUGACGCUGAGACGCGAAAGCGUGGGGAGCAAACAGGAUUAGAAACCCCCGUAGUCC